CAGCGUCUGCUGCAUGACCGUCAUGGCGAUCAUGCCCGUACGCCUUUUGAAUCUGGUCGCGCCGCUGGCUCACAAGGCCACCGUCAGGCACGCCAGGGAUACCACCAGCCACGGCUGGCACUGGUCCCGUGCAGCCUCCAGGGUGAUCGAUCUCCAUCUUCGCCCUGGCGGUGUGAAUAGCGCGAUACGACG
RNAcentral lists this non-coding RNA (192 nucleotides) under unclassified sequences. RNAcentral's name for it is "RT-15 RNA". It matches the Rfam family "RT-15 RNA". From Rfam's summary of the family: Proteobacteria. The record is from Rfam by way of RNAcentral.